UCGAUGCAACGCGAAGAACCUUACCUGGUCUUGACAUCCACGGAAGUUUUCAGAGAUGAGAAUGUGCCUUCGGGAACCGUGAGACAGGUGCUGCAUGGCUGUCGUCAGCUCGUGUUGUGAAAUGUUGGGUUAAGUCCCGCAACGAGCGCAACCCUUAUCCUUUGUUGCCAGCGGUCCGGCCGGGAACUCAAAGGAGACUGCCAGUGAUAAACUGGAGGAAGGUGGGGAUGACGUCAAGUCAUCAUGGCCCUUACGACCAGGGCUACACACGUGCUACAAUGGCGCAUACAAAGAGAAGCGACCUCGCGAGAGCAAGCGGACCUCAUAAAGUGCGUCGUAGUCCGGAUUGGAGUCUGCAACUCGACUCCAUGAAGUCGGAAUCGCUAGUAAUCGUGGAUCAGAAUGCCACGGUGAAUACGUUCCCGGGCCUUGUACACACCGCCCGUCACACCAUGGGAGUGGGUUGCAAAAGAAGUAGGUAGCUUAACCUUCGGGAGGGCGCUUACCACUUUGUGAUUCAUGACUGGGGUGAAGUCGUAACAAGGUAACCGUAGGGGAACCUGCGGUUGGA
This 571-nucleotide ribosomal RNA is filed under the name Escherichia coli. RNAcentral's name for it is "bacterial SSU rRNA". It matches the Rfam family "Bacterial small subunit ribosomal RNA", at positions 951 to 1522 of the family's 1533-position model. Lineage: Bacteria; Pseudomonadati; Pseudomonadota; Gammaproteobacteria; Enterobacterales; Enterobacteriaceae. The record is from RNAcentral.